This is a long non-coding RNA of Homo sapiens (human), 1794 nucleotides long. The record is from Ensembl. Lineage: Eukaryota; Metazoa; Chordata; Mammalia; Primates; Hominidae.
ACACACAAACCUUAAUAACCCUCAAGGACAAGUGGAGCAAGAUCUCAGACGAUCUGUUCCCUUUUAGUUACAGGAAACUUGAUAAUGAAGAUCUCCACCCUGGUCAAGAACAGAGGAAAGACCUAAAGUGAGGUCAGCUAAAAACAAGAAAGAAAUUUAAAGCAUCCUGGGAAGUCAUCAUACCCUUUUUCUCCAAGAAAAUCUAGUUUUGCUUGUUUUUGUGUAUCCCACAACACCUGUGUUUGACUAUCUUUUUCACUUUGGAUUUGGAUUUUGGUGUGAUAUACACAGUUCCAAAAAAUCAAUGGAUAGAAAACUCAAUGGCAUAAAUAAGUGCUUAAAACAAUACUUCAAGAAAUGUUCAACAUUCCACGAGAACAAUAUCCACGUGAGAUGAAAAGAAAAGUCUAAGUUAGUUCCUGAUUCCUGGAAGCUGGGAAAGUAUGUAUUUUAUUUGUGUAUUUGCUUAACAAACAUUUAUAGGGCUAAUUAUAGGCCAGAUACUUUUCCACAGAUUUCUAAAAUAUUAUUAUUAAUUCUCAUAACUACCCUCUGAGGUAUGUACUACUACUGUCCCCCUUUUACAGAUGGGGUAACAGGUAUAGAGAAGUUAAGGACUUGAGUCAUACGAGUAGUGGCAGUAGAAGAAAGAGUUAAACCCGGGUAGUUGGGAUCCAAAGUUUGUGGCCCUAACCACUCACACUGCCCUCCACAACAAGCUGCCUCUUUUCAGGAGUACCAGAGACAUGUUACCACUUUAGGCAGUUAUUAUUCAAUAAUUGUGGACCUUCCUCAGGAUAGAUGGAUGAAAACAAAAGGCAAACAAAGUAUAUCUGUCCCUAUAAAGUAUGCCUAAGGUGUUUGUGUCAUUCAUCUGAACAGAGUUCUACACUACCAUGUCCCAAAGUUCCUUUCACUAACAUAUUAUGUAAUAUACUAUGAUUUGAAUUUUCCUUAAUAUACCAUGAAUGGUUUUUUAUUUCUAAAUCUAUCUCAUUCAUUUAAUACUCCACAGUACUAGAUUGUGUAGAGGCCUACAGAUGUGGUUAAAUAGUCUAUUGAUUUCUUCAGUUGUUAUUAUUCAGUUGUUAUUACUGAUUUUAUUCUGCCUUUUUUACAGGUCUCAUUCCAGUAACUACUUAAUACCCCCUGUCAGUCUCCUUCAAAGGCUGAAGCCAGCCUCUGACUGAAGCGCAGCCGCAAUGUUUCCUGUCUGGUGCCAGCACAGCUUGCCUGGACUUCUGAAAAUUGCAAGCGCUUGCUCCUUGCUAGUCACCACACUCCCCCUUUCUUAGUUGCAGACUCCCUCUUGCUGUGGUUUACCAGGUGCCCUUAUUGCCCCUCAUGCUUGUGUGCCACUUUGGACUUAAUCUGGCACACUUAACUCCCUUCAUCUACGCCUGAAGCUGGACAAGCUGAAGUGACUGCGUCACUUUCUCAAUUCUGGCUCCUGCCCACCGACCUUGCUCUGCUAGGAGGAAUUAGCUCUGCCUGGCCAGAACCCAAGAAGUGACAAAUCAAACUCGCUCAAUAGGUGGUAAUUAAACUUCUGGCUCUAAAGCCCAGAAUAGGUUGUCAAUGGGAUUUCACAGUGGCUCCCUGACACUAAGCAAGGAUGUAUUUCUACAUCUAGUUUUAAAUCUUAAACUCUAAUAGGAUUCUCAGAAAAGACAGUAAAGACUAAGGCCAAAAAAAGUUGUUUAAAGGGGAAAAUGACAGUAAGUACAAAAGAUAAUCUGGGGAAGACCUGGCAAUUCUGAAAUCAAAACAUCUGUUACUAAGUGGAUCAUGACU